AAGAACCUUACCAACUCUUGACAUCCCAUUGACCGCUUGAGAGAUCAAGUUUUCCCUUCGGGGACAAUGGUGACAGGUGGUGCAUGGUUGUCGUCAGCUCGUGUCGUGAGAUGUUGGGUUAAGUCCCGCAACGAGCGCAACCCCUAUCCUUAGUUGCCAGCAUUGAGUUGGGCACUCUAGGGAGACUGCCGGUGACAAACCGGAGGAAGGUGGGGAUGACGUCAAAUCAUCAUGCCCCUUAUGAGUUGGGCUACACACGUGCUACAAUGGACGGUACAAAGGGCAGCGAGACCGCGAGGUGGAGCCAAUCCCAUAAAGCCGUUCCCAGUUCGGAUUGCAGGCUGCAACUCGCCUGCAUGAAGUCGGAAUCGCUAGUAAUCGCAGGUCAGCAUACUGCGGUGAAUACGUUCCCGGGUCUUGUACACACCGCCCGUCACACCACGAGAGUUUGCAACACCCGAAGCCGGUGAGUAAC
Molecule: ribosomal RNA, 475 nt
Filed under: uncultured Exiguobacterium sp.
Lineage: Bacteria; Bacillati; Bacillota; Bacilli; Caryophanales
Description: bacterial SSU rRNA
Rfam family: Bacterial small subunit ribosomal RNA
Source: RNAcentral